GGGUACAUAGCUCAGUUGGUAGAGCAGCUGACUCUUAAUCAGCGGGUCGUAGGUUCGAAUCCUACUGUACCCACCA
RNAcentral lists this transfer RNA (76 nucleotides) under Elstera litoralis. RNAcentral's name for it is "tRNA-Lys". It matches the Rfam family "tRNA". From Rfam's summary of the family: Transfer RNA (tRNA) molecules are approximately 80 nucleotides in length. The record is from RNAcentral. Lineage: Bacteria; Pseudomonadati; Pseudomonadota; Alphaproteobacteria; Rhodospirillales; Rhodospirillaceae.